GGCCCGCGCCUUUCCCUUCCGAGACGUAAUUGCCGUUACCUCUCCUCUGGCGUAAGUAAAUACGACUUGUCAUGGAUCCUAAACCAUGGCAUGUAUUCUGGAACACACGCUAACUCCGGAACGAUAUUGCUUCUCGAGUAGGUAGAUAUUCAUGCCGAUUUUCCCACAUUUCCGUGUACUCGGACCAGUAUCUAGGCCAAUCCGUACCUAAUAGCUGAAGGUCGAUUUUAUAGUGCUCGUCAAACUCCUCAGGGUCCGCAGGAAUCGGUUGUCUACAUCCAAACUGUCGUAGCACUCUGUCUGUCUGAUGGGGCACCACGGUUGCAUAGUUGAUCAACACCACUUUCACGUGCCAAGCGUUCGGAUUUUGUAAAAACUCUUCCAGGAUUACUGCCCGAAUUGCUGGAUCCUCGUAUGGUGUCCAUUGAAACUAUAUGAACAUGAUAGAAAUAUUAGUUAUAUACAUAAUACUAAAUACUAAAUACUAAAUAUCAAUCGACUAGCGAAUGUAUGGAAAUUUCUAUUUGCAAUAACACUUACUUCUGCUUCCGACCGUUGGUCCAAUAGAAGCCGUAUAUCUUCAAGUUCAGACGGUAAUCCACGAAAACUUGCCGGAUGGCUCCACCUAAUUAAAUAAUUUUUUAGCAUACUUUUAUUCUUACAAAAUCUACAUAAUACUUCAAAAAUGUAAUAUAAAAUUUACCUUGUUACAAGUGAGAAUGUAUAUGGGUGGUUCACUCGAGGACGUAGAAAUGGAAAGCGAAACCGUGCCUAUGAUUGCAGUAGUGACAGGCAACCUCCGAUGUUUGCUCUCCUCGGUCGCGUCGCCCCGCACAUCUCACGAUAUAAUGUUGCCAAGACGGCAGACCCCCAACUAAAUUCACCGGCUCCUCUAAAAUCAACGAGUUCUAGCAGCCACCUUAGAUGUACACGGCUCCUAGCACACCUCCAAUUAUUUGAAGAAUGUAUGAUCGAGCAUAUCGAAUUCUUUGGAUUUCAGUUGAAUUUACAUUCGGCUCGGGAAAGGUGGCACGUAACCAGCCCAUCUCGACCUUACCUCCAUCCAUUUUUUCUGGAAUAGCGCCCAAAAGCUCGUAGCACACCGCCUCCCAAUUGCUAGAUUGAGCAGACCCGGUGACUGGGUGCCCGUCCACCGGCAAUCCCAAAUGCAUGCUGACAUCUUCUAGAGUGAUAGUGCACUCUCCACAUGGAAGAUGAAAUGUGUGCGUCUCGGGUCUCCACCUCUUGAUCAACGCACUAAUCAGUUUCGAGUCCAACUUGAAUCCCCGGCCUACCGCCGCCACGUGCCAAAAACCCGCUUCCCGCAGGUAGUUCUCUACUAACAGUGAUGGAGGAGCAUGCAUAUUCCGGAUAUGGCAUGCCAAUACCCGAUCUUCAGACUUUUAUAACAAACAAUAAAUUAAUAAUUAUCUAAAAAUACAUAAAUAAAAAAAUCUUAAAUAAUAAUUACAAAUUAAAUUUAAUACUUACCAUUUUCAUUUGCUCCACCGAUAUGUGAUUGCUAUCAAGACGAGUCAAUGAUCCGGCCAUUAAUGAAAAUAUAAAAAAAUUUAAAAUUAUUUUUAAAAAAUAUAAAAAAAAAUUAUAAUUAUUUUAAAAAUGAAUUUUAGAGAAUUUUGGAAGGAAAUUAAAAUUAAAUAUGGGUUUGAGAGAAUUUUGGAAGGAAAUUGAGAGAAUUUUGGAAGGAAAUUGAGAGGAUUAGAGAGGAAAAAUUAGAUAGGAUUUGUUUGUGAAAAAAAAUAAAGGGGUGGGGGUAUUUAUAUUUUUUUUUGACCGUUGGGGGGGCAACGGUUAAAUUUUUGACCGUUGGGGUACUGUUCACACGCGGAGAAGGUCGCGUCCACAUCAUCAGGUUGCGCUGACGUGGACGCGACCUUCUGCCAUGUACCCUGACAUCGCGCUAACGUGGGCGCGAUUUCCCGAAAAAUGGACCAUUCUGGUAAAUAAUCAAAAAAUCGGCCCAUUUUAAUAAAUUUUGAAAAAAAAAGGGCUUUUUCUGGUAAAUUGCCCGCUCUUAUCAUUACUUUUUACUUUUUUUUAUUUUCAGUAAUUCACAUUAAGGGCUUUAAUUAAUAAAAUUUAGAACGGUAUAUCAAUUAUAAUAAGUAAAAUAAAAAUUUAUAUUUUGAUUAAUAAAUUUUAGAACAAUAUAUCAAUUAUAAUAAACUAAGGGAUUGGCUUCUCCCUGGUUGUAAAUAUAAAUGUGCUCUUUUUUGGUUUCAUUAGUAAUCAGUUUAUUUGGUUUGGUUUUCAUUAGCCAUUAGCAACUUUUGUAAUACAAGUUAUUGAGGAUAGCCUACUGUAAUGAGUUUCCUAUUUAUUUUAUCUUUAUUUUUCCUAAGACAAUUCUGGAUCUAAAUAAAAAAAAUUCUACUUAUUAUACAAAAUUAUCUGAAAUAAUAUACAUUAAAUAAAAAAAAAGGAAUACUGAAAAUAUAUAUAUAGAUAUGUAUAUAUCUAUAUUACUAUAUAUAAUUUAAUCUACAUAAAAUAAAAAAAUAAAAGGAAAUAAAUAAAAAAAUAGAAUUUAAUGUACAUUAAAUUCAGUCAACUAUCGCACUGUUCCAGUACCCAUUCAUUAUAUUAGAUUGAUCUUAUACAUGGGUGUAAUUGAAUGUUGCUUAGGUUGAUUCUAUAUGUAAAUUAGUCAUAACUAUGUUAUUAUGUGUUUUCGUGAACUAUAUAUAUUCUGAUUUUCUUUUUGGCACACAUAUAUAGUGUUUUAAAUUAAACAAACAGGGACCUUCUACAUGAGAACAAAAUACAUACAAAAGCUUUUUGAUGUCAUACAAAUUGUGGUGAAUACAUUGCCUAUGGUAUACCAUAAAUAUAUUUUGGUUAAUUCUUUGAUGAUAUCUAAUUGAGUGUUUAUGUACAGAUAGCAUACAUCAAAGCUCAAGGGACACCUAUGGUUCAAACAAGAAGAUUUGUAGUUUUAACCUCUUUGUGCCUCAACACAUGUUUAUAUUUUGUAAACACUUUGUCAUAUUUUAUUUCUUGUUAUAUGUCAACUUUAUUAUCCAUGUGAGUUAUAUUUAAUAAUAUAAAAAAUUGCAAUUUCUUUUAAUUUGAUCAUAAAUAAAUUUUAGAUACAUUUUAUAAUUCUUUUACAUUUACAAUUAUAGCUAUCAAUUUUUAAAAAAAAAACUGAACCAGACCUUUAUUCAUGGUUAUAAAACCGUCAGUAUAGGUCAACGAUGGAAACUGAAAAUUUUAAAUAUAUACAGACGGAUAAUCCGUUGAAAAAUGUACACCCAAUGGUUAUGAUAGCAUCUUGACAGUGCUUUAGUGACGGAGACAUUUGUCAAUAGGAUGAAAGCCAUUUCUCAACGGUUUAACGCCGUAAGUAAAAGUUUAUACAAAUGAUGUUUCUAUCGACUGCCAGAUGUUCGUCAAAACAUCCCUCUCUCCCGUCAGUAUAGGAUCUGAAGUGCUAUACUGACUCAUUUUUUUACUUUACCAAUGAUUUCCAUGUUAGUAAAUGAGAUUCUUUUGUAGUGAAUCUCACCAAUCAACUAUAAGAUAAGAUAAACAAUAGUAAUAAUAAUAAUAAUAAUAAUAAUAAUAAAUAACGUAAAUACGGACUCUUAAUAGGUCAACAAAUAGAAUCACAAUCUAAACUAAAAUUCAUGAUCUAAGGGAUUGACUUGGGUAAUCUAAUCCAAUUCAAUCUCCAAUAUAUUAUUCCCGAAGUUAGGGUGUGCAAAAAAAAAUUCCAAACCAAACUGAAUCAAACCGAAAUAAUUGAAUUUUUUUCAAUUUAUUCAAUUUUUUAAUUUAUUCAAUUUUUCAUUUAAUCUAUUUUCAUGCUCAGUUUAUUCGAUAGGUUUCCGAUUUUGAAUUUUUAAAUCGAAUAAACCAAUUAAGUCAUAACCCAUAAGACCAUAAGCCCAUAAUCCAUUUACAUACCCAAACCAAAAUUUAAACAUUAAACCUAAAUACCCAUUAAAACUUAAUACUCUUAAAAGCCCAAACUAUUAAAAUUUAAAACCCAAUUUGAUAAUUUAAAUUUUUUUUAUGAUAUUCAUUUUAAUUUCUAUCAUUUAAUAUAUAAAAAAUCCAAAUUAAUAUAUACUCGUUACAAUAGUAGAAGACAUGGAAAUUGUAUGUUGGAUUGUUGGCCAUGUUAGAAUAUAAAUAUUUUUUUUAGUUCAUUAAAAAUUGUUUGAUUUAAUUUUUAAUAUUUUUAUAAUGAAAUUAAAAUUAAAAUAAAAAUAAUAAAAUAUACUAAAUUGAAGAAAGAAGACAAUUUUGUGAAAAUUUUAAAGGAAAUAAAAUUAUAAGUACCUCAAUUAGAAUUUUUUCUAACUAAGAAAAAAAAAUAAACUGAACCAAACCAAACCAAAAGUUUUCAGUUUGAUUUAUCUGGUUUUUCUCUCUAAGUCGGUUAAAUUUAUUUGAUUUACAUGAAUAAUUCGGUUUAUUCAAUUUUUAGCAUAAAAAAUUGAACUAGCCAAGUGCACACUGCCACCCCACGUGAUAUGGCCUUUCAUAAUUAGUUAAAUAUCAUCCAUAUAAUCAGAAUAACCCAUAAAAGUCAUUCAAUAAAUUACCAACACAUUAAAUAUGAAAAUUGUCUCGUACAAAUUUGGUGAUCAAGUAGUGGGUACUCCCUCCGAUACUAAAUGACUAAUUUCAUAUUUUUCUAAUACUUAUUAUGUUAAUUAAAAAUUUAUAUUAUGGUUGUUGUUAUGUUUUUUUGUUCAUCAUAAUUAUUUACAAACGUCAAUGUAAUGAAUAUUACUGUAAUUAUUUCUUAAAAAAAUAUUAUUGUAAUUAUUGUUGUUAUUAAUUUUUUAUUUUAUAUCAUUAUUUUAGACAUAAUGAUAAAUUUAGUCUUUCAUAUUUAUAUUUUUUAUUAAUUUGGUUUUUAUAUAUUUUUAAUUAAAUUAGACUGCCAACGUUUUAAAGAGUUUAAUUUGAUCAUCAAUAUUUAAAAAAAAAACUUGGUUUUUUUAAAACAAAAAUACUAAUUAAAAUAUUAAAUUUUUAAUUAUGGUAGUUCGAGUGGAAAUCCAUGUGUACUUCUUUUUUUUAAUUUUUAUGAACUUUUUAUAAUUUUUAAUGAAUUUUGAUUUUUUAAAUAUUUUUUGAAUUUUUAAAUUAUUUGAUGAUAUGACAUAUAAGACUAAUAAUAUCAUAUCAGCAUGAAUGCACGUGAAUUGUCACGAAUUUCAUUAAGUAAUUAAUGUUUUAAUCAACAUUUUUAUUAAAAAAACGAUUUGAUUAUUUUUAAAAUGUCAACCGUCAACUUUGGUUUUGUUUAAAAAUAAAUAAAUUAUCAACUGCAAAUAUUGAAAACUAAAUUUAUUAUUAUGUCUUUAUUUUAAAAUAAAAUAAUUACAUUUUCUCAAACAUUAUCUUUGGGGGUGUCAACAACAAAGGGCUUAACUUUCUUAUGUUGUUGAUUUAGAAAGACCUAUAAGGGUUAAUACUAGUUUUAAUAUUUUUAUCAAUCAAUAUUAUUAGAGGAGAAUGAGAUGACAUGGUUUCAACCUGGCCAUACAUCUUUUUUAAAUAUACAAUUAUAAAAUAUUCAAUCUCUUAAAUACUAAUAAUAUAAUUUGGGCACAAAAUAUAGGAGAGAGUGGGACUAGAGGUGCUGGCCAGACUGGCCCAACCAAAAAUUUAGGCACAUUUGUUAGGUUUGGGCCCAGUCCAAUUUAAAAAAUAGACUUAAAAUUUUGUUUAAGCCCAACUCACCCGUAUUAAUUUUUUAUAUAAUUUUUAAAUAUAUAUAAUACAUCAAAUAUAUUAAAAAUAUUAAAAUAAAUAUUUUUCAACAAAUUAAAAAUAAAUUUUUAAAAAUAUGUAUACUUAAAAUAACACUAAGAUAGGUGCAACUUAACAAACAAAUGAUACUAAAAUAAUAACAAAAUUAACAAUAAAACAAGUGUUAUACAAUAUCAAACAAUAACAACAAAAUAGUAGUAAUAUAAUAGUGAAAUGGUAGGAAAGUAGGGAGAAAAAAAUAAGAAAAUAACAUUAAAACAACAAAAAAAUAAUAGUUUUUUGUCCUUUUGUGAAUUCAGGUUGGCCCGGGCUUGGGCCCGGGACAAAAAUGCCUUACUCAAGACCCGAUCCAUUUUUUAAACGAGCCUUAUUUUUUGCCCAAACCUAUUUUUGAGCCUAUAUUUUUGCCCAAACUCUUUCACUUUUCAGACGAGUCUUCGGGAAGGGAUGGAUGACCCGGCUCAUAAGCAAGUCUAAGAGAGACGGUCGGACAUAAAAUAUAGCGAGGUUGGUUGAAUAUCCAUUAGGCUUUUUGGGUCUAUGAGGGAACUUUAAACCAAACAACUGCUUGGGUGUAUGAGGCUUUUUGGAACCGUCGGACAUAAGUGUGACUUCUUGGCCCUUUAAACCCAACAACUCCUUUCUUUUAAGUCCAAUAAGCCCACUUCCAAUUUUCUAAUAAACUCGGACAUGAUAUGAUUUUGCUUAACCAACAUAAACAAAAUAUACAUGUACCAAAAAAAAAAAACCAAAAGGAUUUAAAUUCGUUAGUAAAAAAUCAAUUGAAUCUGAAACAACAUUCAAUUAAACCCUUAUGAGAGAAAAAGAAAUUAAUUACAUCAUUUUGUUAAUGAAAAUCAUUAGUUAACCGAUUUGAUCAUUAAUGACGGUAAUGUGUCUAACAAGAUUAAUGCAUGGCACGUCAUAUAGACAAACAACUGACAUGACAUAUAUGCCAAUCGAAUAUUAACUUGAUUGACAUCAAUAUUGUUGUCAAUAUAAAAAAUAUUAAAAAUAUAUAAAAAUCCAAAAAAAAUAAAGAAAUUACUAUUUUACAUGUUCAUAAUGAACCAAGACAUGUGUGCUCAGGUUCAAAUGAACAUGAACAUACAUUUGUUUAGAUUUAUUGUAGAUGCAAAUUUCGAAUAUUAUGAAAAUUAUUAAAAAUUUGUUAAAAUAUUAAAAAUGGUAAAAAUAAUAUAAAUAAUUAGAGAAGGGUAAAAAUAAUUGUACAUUCUGAUUAUUGUAAAACUAGAAAUGAAACAAAGAAAUGCAUAAAUUUAAGGAAAAUGAGUAAGAUGUAUUUAGUAUAAGAAUUACUAUAUAUGGGGCAUAUGAACUUGCAACUUGUACUUAUUUUGUACUUCAAAUUUUUUUUUGGACUUAACUGGUAUUGAAUUUUAGAAAUUGUAAGUCAACUUGGUACAUUUUUUAAGUACCGAACUAACACUAUUAAAACACGCUAAUGUGGCAUUGAUGACCAAUAGCAUGGUAACAUGUGGUAGCCUCAUAUUUUUACAUGUGGAAAAAAAUAAAAAAAUUAUAAUUUUAUUUUUUUACCUUGUGUCAAAAUGUGAGGCUAUCACAUGUCACCAUGCUAUUUGUUGUUUAUGCCACAUUAGCGCAUUUAAACAAUAUUAAUCAUGUACCUAAAAAUGUACCAAGUUGUCUUCGGUUUUCAAGUUUAGAUACCAAUUAGGUCAAAAAAAAAGUUUAUAUACCAAAAAGGUAUAAGUUACCAACUUCAGAUACCUCCGUAUAUAUUAACCCUUAGUAAUAUAUAAUUAGUGUAAGAAAAAUAUAAUAUUGUAUGUCGUAUUAAUAUUUCAGUAACAAUAAUAAUGCAAUAUAAUGUAGCAGCAGUAACACAAUAGAAUAUCUGUAAUCGGACAAAGUUGAAAAUUAGAAGAAGAAUUUUGUUGGAGCCUGUAUGAACAGUUUCCUUAAGACAGAUUCGACAUCUCCUCUGUGCUUUGAGUAACGUUGGAUGUUUAUCUCCUAAGAUACAACAACAAAUGAUCACAGUAGUACCACAACAACAGUGAUCAAUCAAACACAAUCUUGCCUUUCUCUAUCAUCAGGAGGAAUAAAUUUAGAAGGAAUUUUUUAUAUUGAUGAUUUUUUAUGAUGUGUUUUGGAAGUCUCCUAACUUGGCUUUAUAUAGAGGAGAGGAAAUAAAUGAAGAGAUUUAGACCAAUUCAUGAAGAGUUUUGUUGAAAAGUUAAUAGAUAUAAGUGAACAGACACAAUGAAAGAAAAGAUGUAAUAUUAAACCAAAAGCAAUGAAUCUGUUCACCAAGAGAUACAAUUGUUCAAAAGAUACAACUGUUCAUCAAGUGAAAAAAAUAUUAUUUAAUUUGAGCAUCAAUUUAUCAUUCAUCACUCAAAAAUUUUGAGCAUAUUAUAUAGAAUAUAAAUCCAUAAUUUACUAUUCAAACCUUCAAUUUUAUCAAUAAAAUAAUAUGCCUCAAAGUUUUAAAAUAUCCAUCAUUUUCCAACAAUCCCCCACAUGAAUGAAAUUGAUGAAUCAACGAGACUCAAAGACUCAAAGAGGUGAUAGAUUCUACAUCUGAUAUUUGCAUAGGAUAGGUAGGCAUCAACCUUUGAACCUUCCCUUGUGAAAGUAUAUUUACUUUACUAGCUGACCAGUAGACGUGAUGUCCUUGAACUGUUCUGCUGUUUAUGUAAACGAUGAUAUACCUCAAGCAAAUACCUCUCUGGCAAGAUUUUGGUUCUCAUGGGCAUGUUCAUAUGGUUGUGAACAUCCUCCUGAUUCUGCAAGAGUUUAGAAAACUAUGCCCUGAUAGUCUCCUUGAAGCAGCUCCACUUCACUCUCAUAUAGGUGAUUUAUGUUGUUUGUUUCAUCGAAACACACAAUGGUCAUUAAAAGUAUUGCUUAACCUUUUCCACAUUUAAUCACUAUUUUCAUCAUAAGAAUGGACUUGGGAUAAGAACCCCCACAAUGACCUCACAAGGUCUGUGCAAGUAGGUUGUCCCAUUGAACCAGAUUUUGGGAUCUCUAGUCAACUAGGUUGGGUUUUCCUUCACAUAGCACCUUAAAUAUUCAUGGGCUUUAGUCUCAUUCCUUUCAAUGUUUUAUCAACUUGAUCUCGGUUUAACCCUUUGGCUAGUGGACCGCAGUGUUAUCUUUUGAUCUUACAAAAUUAAUAGAGAUAACUCUAGUUGAGAUUAGUUGUCUAAUGGUAUUAUGCCGACGACGCAUGUGUCUCAACUUGCCAUUAUACGUUAUGUUUUGUGUUCUACCAAUUGUUGCUUGGUUAUCACAAUAUAUGUUUAUAGUGGGUAUAAGUUUUAACCAUUCAAGCAUAUCCUCUAAAAAAUUUCGUAGCCAUUCUGUCUCUUCUUCAGAUUUGUCUAAAGCUACAAACUCAGAUUCCAUUGUGGAUCUGGGUAUAAUCGUUUACCUUGAGGAUUUCCAUGAAACAACUCAUCCUCCCAAUGUGAAAAUAUAACCACUUGUGCCUUUGGUAUCUUGAAUAUCAAAUAUCCAACUGGCAUUGGAGAAUCCUUCUAACAUAGUAGGAUCUAUGGAAUAAUGUAAUUCAUAGUUCCAAGUAUAUCUGAGAUAUCUUAGUACUCUCACAAUCACUUUCUAAUGAUUCUCUCCUGGAUUGCUUGUGAAAAUGCUUAAACUGCUUACAGUGAAAGUAGUAUAAGGUCUAGUGCAACUCAUAAGGUACAUUAGAUUGCCUAUGACUCUUGCAUAUUCCACUUGAUCAACACUUUCACCUUUAUUUUUGGACAGAUGUUAACUUAUAUCUAUCGAAGUUCUGGCUACACCAAAAUCAUCCUUGCCAAAUUUCUUGAGAAUCUUGGCUAUGUAGUGUGAUUGAGUCAAUAUGAGACCUUUAGAUGACCUUUUGAUUUGGAUGCCCAAAAUCAUGUCAAACAAGUCUCAUAUCUUUCAUGUCAAAUCUUGAAUUUAACAAGUUUUUGGUACGUUUUACCAUUUCAUUGUUACUUCCAACAAUGAGUAUGUUGUCAACAAAUAAACAUAGAAAUACAUAUCCAUCAACAGAGGUUUUGACAUACACACAUUUGUCACACUCAUUAAUUUUAAAUCCAUUUCAUAUCAUGACACUGUCAAACUUUUCAUGCCACUGCUUUGAUACUUGCUUAAGUUCAUACAAAGACUUCACCAAUCUACAGACUUUUCUUUCUUGCCCUGAAGCUAUAUGACCCUAAGGUUGUUCCAUGUAAAUCUCUUCAUCAAGAUCUCCAUUUAGAAAAGUUAUCUUAACAUCCAUUUGAUGAACUUCUAGAUUCCGCAAAGCGACAAUAGCAAGUAUCAUCCUUAUAGAAGUUAUUCUUGAUACAUGAGAACAUGUAUCAAAGUAAUCAAGGCCUUCAUUUUAUCUAUAACCUUUUAUAACCAAUUUGGCCUUGUACUUAUCAAUUGUUCCAUCUGCUUUCAUUUUUCGUUUGAAAAUCUUUUUAGAAUUUAGUGGUUUAAUUCCCUAAUGUAGAUCCACUAAUUCCCACGUAUGAUUUUUCAUGAUGAAAUCAAUUUCACUCUUGAUAACAUCUUUCCAAAACGUGCUUUCAGAUGAUCGUAUCUUCACUAUAAGUUUGAGGGUUAGUCUCUAGCAUAUAGGUUAGAAAAUCCAAUCCAAAGGACUUUUCCACCCUUGCCCUUUUUACUUCUUUUUGGCUUUGCCUCGACUUCAACCUCUUGUUGAAAGUCUUAACUAUCAAUAGUCUCUAAAGUUCAUUUUGUUGAACUUGACCUAACUUCCCUAGUCUUAUAAGAAAAUAUAUUUUCAAAGAAUGAGGCAUUUUUAGAUUAAAAUAUCAUAUUCUUGUGAAUUUCAAAAUUCUUUUAUUCAUGCACAAGAAACCGGUAUGCAUUGUUGUGGCAUGCAUAACCAAUGAAAUUACAAUCCACCGUUUUAGGACCUAUUUUCAUUUGCUUCGGUAAAGGAACUAUUACCUUUGUAAGAUACCCCCACACUUUCAAGUAGUUGUAGGAAGGUUUCCUGCCCUUCCAUAACUCAUAUGGUGUCUUGUCCUUUUUUUUGUGGGACACCUUAUUUAAAAGGUAAUCUGUUGAUAAAAUAGCUUUCCCCCACAUGUUAUCUGACAACCCAGAACUUCUUAGCAUUGCGUUCAUCAUUUCCUUUAUGGUUCGAUUUUUUCGUUCCAUUACUCCAUUGGAUUGAGGGGAGUAUGGUGGUGUCACUUCAUGAAUAAUAUCAUGUUGUGCACAAAAUUUACCAAAUGGUUCAACAUAUUCACCACCAUGGCCACUUCUUACCCUCUUAAUUCUUUUAUUAAGUUGGGUUUCAACUUCCUGCUUAUAGAGAACAAAUUUCACUAUAGCUUCAUCUUUGCGUUUAAGCAAAUAUACAUAGCAAUAUUUUGUGCUAUCAUCAAUGAAGGUAAUAAAAUAUUUAUUCCCUCCUCUAGUUUGAAUAAACUUUAAGUCAAAAAUAUAACUAUGUAUUAGAUCAAGUGGUUUAGUAUUUUUUUCAACAUAUUGAAAUGAAGACCUUGUUAGUUUUGCCUCAACACAUGUUUCACAUUUAUAAUUAUAAUUAAUGUGAAAUGAAGGAAUGUGCUCUAAGUUAAUUAAUCUACGUAAAGUAUAAAAAUUAACAUGUCUGAACCAACCAUGUCAUAAAUCAAAUGACUCAAGAAUAUAAAUAGAAGAAGAAACAUCAUUCUUAUUCAUAGUAUUAGCUUUUACAGAUAUAGCAUUGAGUUUCCAAAUAUCAUUUAAUACAUAUCCCCUUUCCACAAACGUUCCCCCUUUUGACAAAACUAACUUUUUGGAUUUAAUAUCAUCUUAAAGCCAUGCAUACUUAGGAGGGUCCCAAAGACAAGGUUCUUGCAUAUGUCAGGCACAUACAACACAUUUUGAAGUUUCAACUUUUUGUCAGAAGUCAUCUUCAAAAUCACAGUGCUUUUCCCCUUGAUAUUGGAAGUUGCAACAUUGCCCAUGUAAAGCUUCUCGUCUUUCUUACAAGCAGCCAACUCAACAAAAGAGUCCUUGUCACAACCAAUAUGACGUGUGGCACCAGUAUCAAGCCACCAUUCUCUUGGAUUUGAAUCAACCAAGUUGACUUCAAAAAUUACAACGUAGAGUUCAAGAUCAGAUACCUCCUUAGAAAUAUUUUCCACAGCGUUGGCCUCGUUUAUUUUGACCCUUUUUGGAAUCCUACAAUUGGAUGACUUGUGUCCCAUCUUAUUGCAAUUAAAGCAUUUUCCUUGGAAUUUUGGCUUUUUGAAGACACCACCUUUUGGUCCUAGUUUAGACCCAAUCUGAUAAUGUUUUCUUUUCUUGGAGUCCUUCUUGACUUCUACUACGUUUGCCUUGACAAAGUUAGGAUUGGUUUCUUUGCUUAUCUUUUUAGUCACAACUCGAUUGUCUUCUUCAAUUCAAAGUCUGACAAUUAGAUCUUCCACUGCCAUUUCCUUAAUUUUAUAAUUAAGACAAUUCUUGAAGUCAUUCCAAAUAGGGGGAAGUUUUUCAAUAAUGGCUGCCACUUGAAAGGAUUCACUUAUAACCAUCUUUCAUGCGAGAAUACCAUGAAUGAUCAGUUGGAAUUCCUACAUGUGAUUUACAACAGCUUUAGAAUCAACCAUUACAAAGUUCAAGAACUUAGGAACUAAGAAUUUCUUAGCACCAGCAUCUUCAGUUUCGUAUUUAUGGUCCAACUAUUACCAUAAUUCCUUAUUCAUUUUCUUGAUACUUUAUACUUCAUAAAUUUCAUCAGAUAAACCGUUCAAAAUGUAACAGCCUAAUUUUAGGGUUAGUCAGAACAGUGGUUUUGGGACCACAAUCUGAGGUAAAAAUAAUUAUUUUAUUAUUUUAUUAAUUUUUACUGUAUGAUAGAAUGUUUGUGUGAAAAUUUCGUAAAGAAAUUUUACCGUUUGAGUGGUUAAUUCAAUAAAAAGGAUUAAAUCGCGUAAAACGUAAAACUUGUGUUCUAUUAGCUAAAAGUGUCAAAUAGCUAUAGAACAUUAAAGUAAAGGUCCUUAUGUGAUAAUUAAUCCAAUUUUGAGUUAGUGGAUGAUAUUUUGUUUGGCAUUUGUGUAAAUUUGAUUAAUUUUAAAGGUUAAUUUAGUAAAAAGGUAAAUAAUGAUAAUAAAUAAAAUAAAACCAAAUUUCAUCUUUCUAUUCAUCAUCUUCCACCGAAAAUGAGAAUGACGAACAGCUAUGGAAGUUUCAAUAUUCGGCCAAGUUUUUUGCUUUAUUUGGUGAGUCGUUUUUGCUUAGUUUUUAAUAAUUUCUACGUUUUUGAGAUCGUUGCUUCGUAAUCUAGCUAGCCCGUACCUCCGAUUUCAAAAAUAUUAAAGAUUUUGAUAGUUUCCAUUGUUGAAUUCAUGUGUUAAUUGAUGUUUGAUGAUGAAAUAUGAAAUUUUGAUGAUAGUUUUACAUGUUUGGUAAAGUGAUUUUGAGUAAAAAUGUCAAUUUUGGACUAAAUUGAGAAAAAUAAUAAAUCGUGUGGUAAAAGUGUGAAUAAAUGAAAAAUAUGGGCUAUUAUGGCAAUAAUAAAAAAUUUUAUAGCUUGGUUUUGUGUUUAAUUUCAUGAAAUUGUGCUUUUAUGUGAUAAGGACUAAAUUGCAAAAAUGUGAAAGUAUAGGGGUAAAAGUGUAAAAUUUCCCUAAUGUGUAAAUUGUGUUAAACUGAGUGAAUUAGUGAUUAAAUAAGUAAAUUUUGUUAUUAUAUAGAUUGAGAAAAACAAGAUUUGGACCUAGAAAUAGGAGAAAAACUACGUAUUGGAUUAGUCAACCUAAUUCGUCGUUUUAACAAACGAGGUAAGUUCAUAUGUUAAAUAAUGUUUUUAAAUUGUGCUGUAAAUGUUCAUUUAUCAUUGAAUUGAAUUGAAUGUUGAUUGGAUGAGUACGAGCAUGAAUCGACAAAGUUACAACAUCCGAAAGUCCCGUACGAACAUUAGGAAUAGCUUAGGAUACUGGGAUGUGAUUACGUGUAAGACCAUGUAUGGGACAUUGUUAUCGUCAUGUGAUUCGUGUAAGACAAUGUCUGGGACAUUGGCAUCGAUAUGAGAUUCGAGUAAGACCAUGUCUGGGACAUUGGCAUCGAUAUGAGAUUCGUGUAAGACCAUAGCUAACUAUUAGCAUCGAUAUAUGAUAGCAUGUAAGAUCAUAUCUAGGAUAUGGCAUUGUACGAGUUAUACGAGAUUUCUGAGUAUCCUUAGCAAUUUCGAAUGGUUUAACGGGCAAAGUCAAAACGAGAAUAAAAGUGUAAACGAAAUAAGUGGUACAGGUACGUACGAUACUUAUACAUAUAUUGAAUGAAAGAAGAUUGAUAAAUAGAUGGGAGCUCGUGUGUAUUACAUGGAAAGGUUUAAGUUUAUAUAAGUGUUUGAUUUAUAUAAAUGCUUAUUGAGGGUAUCGAAUUUCACAUGAUGAGUAAGUGGACAAUUAUGAGAAAUCCAUAUGGUUAUAUUGAUUAUGAAUAUGUAAUGAAUAUUGGAUUGAAUGUGGGAUAUCUUAAAUUGCUUAUGCAUAUGUAAAUGUGAAUAAAUUGGUGAGAAUAUAUUAGAUCUAUAUGAACAUGGAAAUGAAUAAGCUUGUGAGACCCCUGGUUAGCUAUGGUAUGGAUUCAUGGUAUAACAGUGAAAGCAAAUGAGUAAAAUUGUAAUUUGUAAAUACUUAAUAUGUGUUAUUUGAUAAGUUGAGUAUAUUAUCAUACGAGCUUACUAAGUUGUAUAGCUUACUUUGUUUUCUUUCCUAUGUUUAUAGUGUUUCGGAGGCUUGCUCGGGUUGGAAGUCGUCGGAGAUUUCAUCACAUCAUCCAGCUAUCAUUUCGGUAUUUCAAAAGCUUUGUGAUUUUGGUUAUGUGACAUGUAUAAUCUAGUUGGUUUAUGAAGUGUAUAAGUGACCUUUGGCUAUUUAUGCAUAUGUGUUUGAUAUGUUUUUAGCCAUGAGAUUUGACUUAAUAAUGAUGUAAAGUUUAAUGUGUAUAAGCUAUGUUCAUAUUAGUUUGGCAUGGAAAUUUCCUUGUGAAAUGGUAUAUCUUGGUAUGUUUGAUUAUGGUUCAAAUAGCUCAAUAAACAUUUGGUAAGCGAUAUGUAUAUGUUUGGUUAUUUGUGGCUUGAUCAUGAAUGCAAAUCUAAUGGCAAUGUGGCUUAAGAAAUGGUAUGUUUAAAUAUGAAUUUGAAAUGAUACUUUGGUAUGACUUGGUUUGGUUUUAGAUUGAAUGAUUUGGUUGGAUAUUUAGUUGAAUUUAAGGCAUGUGAUAAAUGUAAUUGAUAGUAAGUGGUGAAUGAUGAAUCAUGUGGAGUUGGAAUGCUUUGAGCUAGUUUAUGGACAUUUGAUGAGUAGUAAAGAAAUGGAUAUGCAAUGGUAUGAAAUGUACAUGAAAUGGUCAUUUUUGGUUGCUUAUUAGAUGUGAAAUUGAUGCCAAAAUGAUAUGGUUUAGGUAUGCAUGUGAAAGGUGAGAAAUGUGGCUUAAACCAAGUAUAUUUUCGUGCCACAUGGUCUGAGCACACGGACGUGUGACUCGACCGUGUGACCUCUAUUACAUAGAAAAUUUUUACAAGUUUAAAAUUUUUUUAUAUGUGAUCAGUUUAGUCCCGAACCUUCUUUAAUGUAUGUUUAAGGUCUCGUAGACCUCUAAAAGGGACAAUAUGUAAAUAAUUGAAUGAUAUUCAUUAAUGUUGGAUUAUUUGAUUGAGAAAUGAGUGUUGAAUGUUGUGUUUCGAUCGGUAAUACUUCGUAACCUUAUUCCAGCGACGGACACGGGUUAGGGGUGUUACACAAAAUGUAGUUAUGACGUAUGAAAUCAGAUUUGUUCCAUACUUUGGCAAUGUUGAAAGCGGUAAUAACAUCUUCCUCAUCCUCUCUAAAAAUAGGAGGAUCAUCCUUCAGAAAUUUUUCCAUAUUCAACAUGGUCAAAUAGAAAAACAUUUUACUAUGUUUUAAAAUUAUCUCUAGUGAAUUUCGCAGGCUUUUCAUUGUGACUCAUAAUUACAGGUAACGUUUGGCUCGCAGCCUGAGCAACGACAAUCGCCUCAGCCUUUGAAUUGGAUGAGUUGUUUGACGUAUGAGAUAUUUUUCUGUAUUCAGAAUAAAGAACCAGAAUCCGUAAAUAAAUUAAAAUCCGAAACAAAAGUAUAAACCUACCUAAAUAAGUUACGAUGGUAAUUUGUACACCUUAGAUUAAAACUACAACAAAUUAUUUGUCUUAAGAAUGUAAGAAAAAUAUAAUAUCAUAUGUAGUAUUAAUAUGUUAGUAACAAUACUAAUGCAAUACAAUGCAAUAGCAGUAACACAACAAAAUACCUGUAAUCAGACAGAGUUGAAGAUUAGAAGAAAAAUUUUGUUGAGGUCUAUAUGAACAAUUUCCUUAAGGCAAAUUCGACCUUUCCUCAGUGCUUUAAGUAACGUUAGAUGUUUGUCUCCCAUGAUACAACAAACAAACAAUCACAGUAGUAGCACAACAACGAUGGUCAAUCAAACACAAUCUUGCCUUUCUCUAUCACCAGGAGGAAUGAAUUUAGAAGGAAUUUUUGAUAUUGAUGGUUUUUUAUGAUGGAUUUUGGAAGUCUUCUAACUUGGCUUUAUAUAGAGGAGAGGAAAUGAAUGAAGAAUUUUAAACCGAUUCAUGAAGAGUUUUGUUGAAAAGUUAAUAGAUAUAAGUGAACAGAAACAAGGAAUGAAAAGAUGCAAUAUUAAACCAAAAGCAAUGAAUCUGUUCACCAAGAGAUACAAUUGUUCAAAAGAUACAACUAUUGAUCAAGUGACAGAACUACUAUUUAAUUUAAGCAUCAAUUUAUCAUUCAUCACUCAACAAUUUUGAGCAUAUUAUAUAGCAUAUAAAUCCAUAAUUUAUUAUUCAAACCUUCAAUUUUAUUAAUAAAAUAAUAUGCCUCAAAGUUUUAAAAUAUCCAUUAUUUUUUGUUGCCCAAGCUAAUCGUCAAAUUGAUUCAAACAUAAUUUAAAUUAGGUAAAUUUUUUAUGUAAACUUUAAUAAAUAAAUAAAUAUUUAAAAUAGAAUAAAUAAUAAAAUGAUGUAAUGUAAUUUUUAUUAUAAUAAAAGAUGUUUUUAUCCAUUUUACAUCUGAGACCAAUCUUAUUCUGGUAAGGGUGAUAUUCAAGUAAAGCUUUCUAACAAUAAUGACUCCAAAAUUUGAACUUAGUCCAAAUGCUUGGAGAAGAAAUCUUCAUCCAACUACUUGUUGGUACAAAUAAUGUAAUAUAAUAAUUAUGAAAUAAUUAUUUUUCUAGGACAUUAAUAUAAGUCCCGUAUUAUUGAAAAAGAUGUUUAAGUCAGGUAUCUAUAUAUAAUAUAAAAUCAACUCGUCAUUGGAAGUAAAUAGGAAUACUAUUGGUAUUUUUAAAAAAUUCAAAGGCCAAAAUAGGUUUUUCCCAUAAGUCAUUAGAAGUAAAUAGGGGUAUUAUUGGCAUGCUGAAAAUCGUCCAACGCCAAAAUAGGUUUUUCAUAAAAAAUUAUAAAUUACUUAGUUUUUUAUUAUUUAAAGUUAUUGAUUUUAAAAGUAAUUUUAUUAAUAAUUAGGUUGAUUUAUUUUUCCUACAAAUAAAAAAUCACUAACAUUUAUAUAAUAAUUGGUUUUUUUUCUCGUGCGAUGGUUGUUGUAUGUAUUAAUUAAAAUACAAUUUAUUUAUUAUAAAUAUGCCUUUUUAAUAUAAUUACCAUCAUUAAUUUAAAUAUAUUUUAACUAAGUAAUUGAAAUGAAUAAAGUUUAAGUAUUGAAUAAUUAUAGUAAAACAAUCUUUAAUUAAAUUAAAUAAUAAAAUGUUAAGAUAAAUAAUAUAUUUUAUGAUAAAUUUUAAAUUUAAAUAAAUAAUUUUUAAAAUAUAGACAUAUAUUAAUGGUAUGUGUUUAAAUAUAUUAAUAAAUUUAAAUUAGAUAAAUAAAAUAAUCUAAUUAUCUUAAAUUAAAAUUAAAUAAUGAAAAAAUUAAGAUAAAUAUUAUUUAUAUUUAUAAUAAUUUUUGUAUUAUGUUCUAUUUUUAAAUUUUGAACUAUAUUUUUAAGUAUGAAUAAAUAUAUAUAUAAUUUAAAUUAAAUUUUCUACGAAUUUUUAUACAAAUUUACGUUAUAUUUUUUUAUACAAACUUAUAAUAAUAUUAAUUUUUUUAUAAUAUUAAAAAAAAACUGUUUUUUUUUUUUACAAUAUAACUAUUUAGAUCAAUAUUUCAAUAAAACUAAUAGAUGUACUUCUUCAUUAAAAUAAAACUAUAAAAAUUCAACGUAUUUUACCGAUUUAACUUUACUUAAUAACUAUUUUGUUUAUUUUUCAAUGAUUUCCAUUAAUAUUUGUAAUAUCAUAUUAAAAGGAGUUAUGGUAAUCAUGUGUUAUAAAUUUUAAAAUUUACUAUUACAAAAUAAAAAAUGUGAAAAUAAAUGCAAUAUUUUUAAAUAUAUAUUAAAAUUACAUAACCAAUAAUAAUAUUGUUUGUGCAUUAGUUUACUAUUUUUUUGUUAGGAAUCGACCCUAUAAACAACAAAAUAGAAAAGAUAGAGAUUGAACACAAAUUUUACGAGAAAAACUUUUCUAAAGAGGAUAAAAACCACGGGCAAAGGACGUUUCGACUUUUCACUAAAUGAGUAAACAAACAAUAGUACAAUAUGGAGAAAAUAAACUUAAAUGUACUAAACAUACAAACCCAAACCCUGAAAACAAAACUCUAACUCGGGAACAAAAUUCUCUCCAUAGUUACCACGAAAACUCUCACCAAAACUUAUCUACGACUACAUCUUGUUACCCCCAAAAGAAAAGUAAAACCUCUCAAAACAAGGAUACAAGACCCCCUUUAAAUAGGCUAAGAUUAGAUGUCUAAUCAUACUAAAAUAUCCUUGGAGUAAUCAAAGUUUAACUGGGGAAAGAUAACAAACUUUAACCGGAAGAAGAAAAUCGAUUUAUGUGGGGAACAAGUCGCCACACCGCAACAUCCCCAUCUAUUCGGUCGAAAAUACAAGGCAUACCCCACAAUUUAUUUAUUUCUUUAUUGUUCUGAAUAUUUAUUAUUUGUUCUUACAUUUCUCAUUUUAGUUAUUAUUGUUCUCUUUAUUUUUCUAAAUCAGUUUAGUUUCUUUUUUUCGAAUCAGAUCAAAUAUUUCUUUUUCAAAUUAAACAACUUGAAUAUAAUUUUCUUUUCUUAUCUCGUAUCAUGGUAAAUGAUAAUAUGUUGGCUAGUUAGGCUUGUUUAGGAGUUCACUUGAUUGGUAUAUAAGGUGCAUUAUAGGCAAAAUUGUUGUUUGGUAUCGAGACAAUAAAAACAAAAAUAACCAAAUUAUGCAUUUUCGGGUGUAGGCCUCAAAAUUUACUAAGCAAGUCUUGAGACAUAAGCCACUAUGUCUCAAGACAACAAAAUAUUGAAGCUAAAGGUCUAAAACAAGGAAAUUAUGUCUCAAGACCUGUCUCAAGGCAAAAAGGUCAUUGUCUUGAGAUAUGAAUCUCAAUAUCUCAAGACAAUCAACUUCGAAGAAAAAUAAGAAAACAAAAGAGGCAUGUCUCGAGAUAUGGUUUCAUUGUCUUGAGACACAUUGUUGAAUUUUGAUAAUUUGGAUUUGGAUCCUAAAUCCAUAUAUGACCCCAUAUAAACCUAAAAAUCCAUAUAUGACCCCAUAUAAACCUAAAUCAAUAUGUGUGGGCCAAUUUGACUAUUAAUUACUACAAUUUUCUUUUGCAUAAUGAAAAUUUUAUAAUUAAUCAUUGUAUGCAUGUAUAAUUAUUAUGACUUUAUGCAUUCAGAUUCGACAACCAUGUUAGAUGUGGAGUGUCACAAAUCAUAUCAAAGUUCUAUUCAUCUAGUGUCAAAGUAUCUUGUUGGGGGGGGGGGGGGGGGGGGUUCCGUACUCCCGUUAUUUCAAUGGGAGGCCAAUUUCAAACAAUGGAGGUUCGUUUACCCUUCAUAGAGUGAUAUGUUUACUUGCAUCUUAUACUUGACUGAAGUCCUCAAAAAGGGCAGAAAUAACAUUUUUCAACUAAAACAGGGGUAAACAUCUUAAAUAGCGAAUUAGAACUUAUUAAAGAAGUCAUGUAUAUGUUUAUUGACCUCAUCAGGCUUUUCUUCAUGGAGAAAGUGUGCCACUCCCUCCAUCAUAACCACUUCCUCCAAGAGUGGAACAUUCUUCUUGAGACUUCCCUUGUGUAGGUAAUCCUUGAUUCCCGGAGCAUUAUAGGUUAGAUCCUGGUCGCCGACAAUGAACUUAACCGGCACUUUUAUUUUACUUCCAGUCCACGGUGCAGUAAGUUGCCAGUUUCUGCAACAAAGAUAUAUCAAACAACAUAAGCAACUCAGAACUCAAUACCUUAAAACUUGGGCAUUCAUCGAUGGAAGUUGAAGGGGUAAACAUAUAUACAAGUUUAUAUUUCGGUAAUAGUUCAAUCCCCCGGUGAAGCCUUUCUUCUCAUAUUGGCUGAGGUAAUACUUGCAAUCUUCCUCUGAAAACCAUGACGGCAAGCUUAUUGGAGUGUCUGGUUGUCCAAAAUAUUUGCCUUUUGGUAUAAGAAGAGGACAUGGAUCACGGUAUGUCAAGAAUCCCUUUAGAACUCUCUCAUAUCCCAUCUCCCUGAACUCAGCCUCUAUGACUCCAGGCUCCUGUAAAAUUUCCAAGCAUCAGAUUUUAUGUCAUUCAUUUUUUACAAGUACUUGUAUUUGAUACAUGUUUGAUUGUAACAAAUAUUCAGAGAUAUGGAGUAUGAUUCAUAUAUGAUAUAUAUUCAUAUCUAAACGUAAGUACGGUAACAUAGAUCAGAAAUGUUCAUCCAAAGGAAAAUAAAAUUAAAAUUCUGAGACUUUGCAAUUGAAAGAGUAUCAGAGACUCAUGGUGCAGCUAAUGUUCAAAUAGGAACUAUGGGAUAAAAAAUUAGUGCAGACCACUUCCAAUUGUUCUAAAGAAUGAUUAAAAUAACACUUCAAGCAGUAAAUCCAACAUAAAGAAGCCUAAAAGAUUGCACUUAGGGUACAUCAACAACAAAAGUAUGAAUAAAAUAUAUAAUUAAUUUCAUGUCAAUUGAACUGCUUCAUGUGAGAUUCUAAAAUAAAGAGAUUAUAGAAAAAUCUGAAAAACCAAGAAUUUCAAGCUUCUUUGCAUUUCUUAGAUCAAAGGGUCAUAAUUAAAAUUAAAAUUUUCUUUAAAAAAAACAGGGAAAUUAAGGAAAAGAGAACCGGAACCAAGAACCUGAAAUCUGCAUAUGUAGUAGUCAUCACCAUACAAAGCUCUGAGACCUUCAAGAGGUUUCAUAUUAGGGUUCCUAGGAUUGAAUGCAACACUCAUGUUAACCAAAGCCUUAACCCUAUCUGGUCUGAACAUGCACAACCACCAGGCAAUGAGGGCACCCCAAUCAUGUCCCACGACAAAAACCUGGUCCUGGUCGGCGGCGACAACAUCCAGGAGAGCAAUGAGAUCCCCCACCACGUGUAAACUGGUGUAGGUGGAGGCAUCAUCGGGUGCCUCCGUUUCCCCAAAUCCACGCAGGUCAGGAGCCAAAGCUCGGUACCCAAGCGAGGCAAAAGCAGUGAUCUGAUUGCGCCAAGUAUACCAGAGCUCUGGGAAUCCAUGGAGGAAAAGGAUUACAGGGCCUUUCCCUUUCUCAGCGACGUGAAUAUUUAUGCCAUUGGCUUUGAUUACCCUAUGCUCUAUCCCCUCCAUUUCGGGUCUGCUUGAAUGGGAUCUUUAUCCUAAGUUAUUGCUGCAAUAAAAUGGAGAACAAGUGAUGGUGGUGUUAACGACCUUUGCGUAUUCACUUGGCCUGCAAAAUGCACGCUUUGUCGUAGAGAGGUAGGAUUUUGUGUUCAAGUCUAUAGAAUUAGCGUAAAGACGCCUAAAAUUAGCUAUUCCCUUGAUCAAUCUCAUCUUAUAAAGCAACGGAGGAGAAUUCCUAGGUGUAUGUAGGAGAGGAGCAUGAAUUAACGCCUUGGGAGAGGCGAUGAUAUAUUAUUGUUGUGGGCCAGUAUUUAAACUGACUAUCCAUGGAAAAGAACAAAAUUGCGAUGAUAUAAUUAUUGUUGUGAGUGGAAAAUAUUUUCUUUUUCAGUUAUAAGUCAACAAAUCCCUUAAAACAAAACAAUCUCAAUUCACACCAUUUAAAUCUUUGGGAUAAUUAAAAUAAUUAAUUAAAUCUCUUUAUUAUCAAUUUCGGUCAUUAAUCUUGUUAACCGUUAAAAUAAAUUCACAUAGUAAUCCAUGAAACUUUUUAGUUUAAUUUAAUAUUUUUUAUAAAAAUAAUUACUUUUUUUAAAAAAAUUAUAAAAAAUAAGAAAAAUUAUAAAAAAUAUUAAAACUAAUAUAAACUUAAAAUUAUAAAAUAUAAAAAUCUAAUAAAUUAUACAAGAAUUUAUAAAAUUAAUAAAACUUAUUUAAAAUAUUUAAAAUUAGAAAAAUGUAUUAGAAUUCUUAAAUAAUAAUAAAUUGUUAAAAUUUAUAAAAAAAAUAUUAAAAUUAUAUAAACUUACAAAAAUUAUAAAAAAAUAAAAACUUGAAUUGAACCAUUUAGCCCGAAAUCAGCAUUAGACAAGUUAACUUGGGAACCACGCAAUUCCCCAUGAAUAGGAUCAAACCUUAUUCCAUGAUAUUUACAUGAGAUUCUCUUUUCUUAUUCUUAAGCAAGUCCUCGAGAGGGCUUAGUUGAUCCAUGAUUUAUGUUUAAGCUUUCAUUUCAUUUUUGUUUGUUUCGAGAAAUAUAUAGAUCAAUUUCGAUUCUUUCUUUUUCUAUUGAUUCUUUUCCGAUCGAGAUGUAUGGAUCUGUGAAUCUGUGUCUAUAUCGAUCCCGUUCAUGGAUUAAUGAAAAUGUGCAAAAGCUCUAUUUGCCUUUGCCAUUCUAUGAGUCUUUUUCUUUUUGCGUAUGGCAUCGCCACUCCCAUUGGUAACAUCCACUAAUUUGAAACUUAAUUUGAAAGUCAUAUUUCAACCCGUACGUUUCCGGGAUGCCCUUAAUAACAAACGAAUGGCAAGUGUUUUUCCUUGUGUGGAUCCUAUUUCAAUGGGAACUUGAUGAGUCGAUCCGCCUACACGUCUUGCUUUUACUGCUAUAUCGAGAGUUACCCCACGUAUUACUUGUAACACCCUUAACCCGUAUCCAUCUCCAGAAUAGGGUUAUAGAGCAUUACCGGAGUUUACAAAUUAAUUUACAGACAUUUCAUUUCAUCAAGCAUUCAUAUUUAAAAUCAAUCAAAAUCAAAACAUUAAUGAGCUAACGUUGGCCAAUUUAUCUCAUACAUGUCAUUAUAACCAGAAUCAAAACAUCCAAAAUUACCGAUAGAAUUAAUGGAUAGUGUAAUAAAUAUUCAUACAUCCAUUCAAUGCAUUAUUCCCCUUUUUAUCAAAUAUGUCAAUGUUUCAUCAAUUUUUAUACAAUGAACAUUCAAAUCAUAUUCACAUCAAUAACAUAAAUUUCAAGCAUUUAAGAAUAUAAUUCAAGUUACACGAACUUACCAGACUAAAUUAUAGAAAUACCAAAAAUUCAAGGACAUUUUGAUAGUUUUCUAUUUUCCUCGAAUUUCCAUCCAAUCAUGAUCUAAAUUAAUAUUUCAUUCAAUUUAUUAAUUUAAAUAAUAAAACAAUUCAUUUCAUGCAAUUUGGUCAGUUUUUGACAUUUUUACCAAUUUACCCUUAAAAUAUUACUUUUAUUCAAUUUAGUCCUUGAACCUAAAACAUGCAAAUUGGCCAUUUUUAAUGAAAACUCAUGCUAGUUGAAUAAUCAUUUAUUUUCCUCCUCAUCCUCUCCAUUCCACAUCCUUAAUGUAUAAUAUGCUUAUAUGUAACAUUAUCUAUAAUUCCAUCAUUUAUUUAUAUAUUAAUUCAAAGCUGUCCACUUGAGUCAUAGUCACUAAAUUAUUUAUAUCUUGAGCUAUGGAACUCUGAAUUAAGAUCCGAUAAAUUCCUAUGAAACUAGACUCACAUAUCUUCUUACCAUAAAAUUUUUAGAAUUUUUGGUUUAGCCAAUAAGUACAGUUUAUUAUUUAAAGUUUCCCCUAUUUCACUAUUUGACAAUUCCGACCCCUCUUUACUAAAAAUUAAUUAUCUCUUUGUACAGAAUUUGAAUGAUGUUUCCUUUUGUUUAUAUUGAAAAUAGACUCAUUCAGGAUUUUAAACAUAUAAAUUUAAAUCUCUAAUUAUUUUUAUUCAAUUUUUGAUGAUUUUCCAAAGUUAGAACAGGGGAACCCAAAUUCAUUCUGACCUUGUCUCACAAAAUUUAUUAUAUCUCAUGAUUUACAAUUUCAUUACUUACACCGUUUCUUCUAUGAGAAACUAUAAUUAAUAAUCUUUAAUUCCAUAUUUUUUUAUCCUCUAAUUCGAUUUCCACAAUUUAUGAUGAUUUUUCAAAGUUAACCUACUGCUGCUGUCCAAAACUGUUUUAGUGCAAGAUGUUGAUUACUCAAUUUAUAACGCCCUUAUUCCCUUUCUCUAUAAUAUUUCCCAUCAUUUUCACUUAUUUCCCUUCACUAAUAUAUCAAGAACAUAAGACUUUAUUUAAGAAAACUCUACUAUAACAUCAUUUCCAUACUUUUUUAACAAUAACAAACUUAAAAAUAUAUUGAAAUCUUGAUGUUCUUACCUUAUGCUACUGAUUUCAAUCUUUAACUUAAUUUUCUCUCUCCUCCAGCUUCUAUUUCUUGAAUCUAAAUUGACAUUCUAGCUCCCCAUUGUCUCCUUAUUAUUUUUUCUCUCUUGGAAGCUAUGGAAAUUCUUUUAAUUUCUAGGUGAAAAUAAUGAAUUUUUGGUGAAAGGACCAAAUUGUAAAGAAAGCAAAAUUUUCUUUCUUCUCUUCUCUUCUAACGUUGGUUGCAUGGAAAGAUGGUGAUUUUUCAUCAUCUUUCAUCCCUUUUAUAUUAACCAUUUAAUAAUAAAAUAAUACUAAAAAUCUUAAUAAAAUAAUAAUUAAAUAACAUUUAUCUAAUUAAUUAAUUAAAAAUAUCACAAACAUCAUCAUUACCUUCUAUAAUUCUCUCUCUCCAUUUGACCAUUUUUCCCUUUAUAAUCUUUUGAAAUUUCAUCCUUGAGUCAUCACUUAAUUUGGUAAAAUUACAAUUUAGUCCCUCAAAAUUCUUUACCUUUUCAAUUUGGUCCUAAUUCAUCCAUUUUCCUUAGUUUCUAAAUUAUUCCACACUUAAAUAUUUACACUAUUGGUCCUUCAAAUUUUUCAUAUUUACACUUUAACCCCUCAAAUUUAUAGUAUUUACUUUUGGACAACAAAACUUUUCUCACUUUUGCAAUUUAAUAUUUUCUUGAAUUAAUAUGUCAUAAUAUACUUCCCAAUGUUGACAUAACUCAAUAUUUUCUAAAUUAUUCCACCCUUAAAUAUUUACACUAUUGGUCCUUCAACUUUUUCAUAUUUACACUUUAACCCCUCAAAUUUGUAGUAUUUACUUUUGGGCAACAAAACUUUUCUCACUUUUACAAUUUAAUAUUUUCUUGAAUUAAUAUGUCAUAAUAUACUUCCCAAUGUUGACAUAACUCAAUAUUACCCUUUUUAUCACUUUAUUUCAUUAUUUUACUAUAUCAAGGAUAUUAUCUUACUUUCUUACUAUAGUAAUUUUCGGGGUAUUACAUUGCUUGACGUAAAAGAGAUAGUGGAUUUGUUUAUGUCUUUUGUUGAAUCUUUUUCAAGGCUCGAUAGAUAAUUUGAUAAGCCAAUGAUUUUUUUUCGUGUUUCAAAAUACGGUUAACCAACAUGUUAACUAAUUGAUUACGAUAAAUUGGAUCGGAUUUUGCAGUUUUUUCUUCUGUGGAACUGAUUUUUUAUUUUUUAAUAUUUUUUAUCAAACCAAAAUUCCAUUAUCCAACUAUUAGCAUAUGCCAGAAUGAAAUAUUCUAACAAAAGUGUUUAGAAUCGGACCGAUGGUCGACCUAGUCAGGCCAGCGAUAUACUAAUUCGUUCAAUUAAAUAAAUAAUAAAAAAUAAUGAAAAUAUAAAACAAAUUAGUUCAACCGUACAGUUCCCAGGUCAACUGGUCUAAUGGCUUUCUCUGAAUCAAUACCUUUUUUGAUUCCAGUCUAAUUAAUCCAAUCGACUGAUCCGGUUCAAUUCAAAUUUUUAUAAUUUUUUUAUAAUUUUUUUAAGUUUAUAUAUAAAAAGUUUGAAUAUUUUUUUUAAUAAUUUAAGAUUUUUUAGGAUUUUUAUAGAAUAUUAAUACAUUUUUACAAAAUUUUAAAUAUUUUAAAUAUGUUUAAUUAGUUUUAUAUUUUUUAUAAUUGUUAAUAAUUUUAUGAUUUUUAAAAUUUUAUAUCAAUUUUCAUUUUUUAAUAUUUUUUUAUUUUUCUAUAAUAUUUUCUUAUUUUUUAAUAUUUUAUGGGAAAAUAUUAAACCAUAAGCUGCCAUGUGUCACUAUUUAAUUGGCCCGUCAAUUUAUUUAACAGUCUAAGAAAAAAUUGAAAAAGAAUUAUGAAUAACUAAGAAAAAUUAUAUAUAUAAAGAAAAACACGUUAUGGCAAAUGCCCAAAAUCGUGAUACACAACUAAAAAGUAAAGGGUAUAAAGCUGCAGCGGACGGUCCAAUAAUUGUGGUUUUAGAAAAGAGAACAGUAAAAGGAACAGACUAACAGCAAAGCAAGGAAUUUAUAUCUAAUAAAUUGUCAAAAAGAAUGGAAAAGAGCAUAAAGCAAAGUGAAAUGCAUCCUACAAAAAAAAGAGACAAAUCCAUUUUGUGAUUUUAUCUGCUAAUUUUGAUUUAUAUAAUCUUACUUUACAGCUCGAAAAUGAAACCGUCUAUUAUAUAUUAGGUUAAAAUUAUAGGAAAAGUGAUACGAGUCACAAAAGCCCAAAUUCUUGAAGGCGAGGUCCAAUAAGUAAAUUCCCAGUCCAAUCAAGAAAUCCAUCUAUACUUAGUUGAAAAUCAGGCCAAAUUGUCAAAGUGGCCCAAGUUGUAAAGUUUUAUUUUUAUUUAUUUAUUUAUUUAUUUACUUAGUUUAAAUUUUUAUGUCAAUAUUCAGUCCAAGAGUCCCAGAUAAAAUGACAUUUGACCGAAUUUCCAUAUUAAAAUAAUUAGGAGUUUUUUUUAUUUUAGUUUUCUAAUUAGAUUAGGACUAGUUAUAAGGCCUAUUUAAAGGCAUGGCUGUCCACCUUGUUAAACACUUAUCAUUAUUAUUAAAAUUUCAGAUUUGUUGAGAGCAGAAUUUUCUUUGAGUUUUCUCCAAGAUUUCUCUCUUGAGUUUUCUUUAGAAGUUGUUUUAACAAUCUUGUGAUUGUGGGAGCCAUCUUCAACCUUCUUCUUGCCAUUGAUAUUCUUUGGAGGGGAGAUUAGAGCCGUUUGAAGGGAGUUGUGAGAUCUUUCGAGAUUUCAAGGCUUCUUAGGACUUAUCUUUUAAUUUCUUACUGUCAAUUCUUUCUUUAUUUCUACUUGUGCUGAAUCAUUAUCUAAUCUAUUUUCUAUUCUUAUUGUGUUUUCAGCCUUUUUCUAUCUUAAGGAAUUAGCCCAAAAAUCCCCAAUUUUUAGGGUUCUUGCCGAUUCAUCCAUACUCUUUUUGGGAGAAAUUAGAUUGCCGAAAUUUGGGGAAAACUAUCUGGGUGUUCAAUUGGGCAGAAUCGCAAUCUCUUCUAGGGUUUCAAGAUUCCUUAUUAACACUUAUUUCUAUUCUCUAUUUGAUUCUUUACUGUUUUGGGGAUUUUAUUUCAGAUCUGAAAAUUCAAAAAUCUAAUCUUUUAAUUUUCUGUUUCGUUUCAGAUCUAAUUGUUUAGGGUUUUCGUAGGAGUUUCUCGUGACUUGGCAACUCGAUCUUGGUCCGCGCGCAACCCCGUAUCAGAAAGUCAAUGUUUUUGGUCAAUUUAGUUUUUUAUUGUAUUUUGAUUAAUUUUAAAUUUUUACAUUUUGAAAUAUAGUUAACUAUUUCUAUAUUAGUUUCAUUUGUAUAUUAAAAUUUUAGAGAAGUGAUUGUUAUACAUUUAUAAUAACAUUUCAAACAGUUAUAAGAGCAUUUGAAAUUCAUAUCAUUUUUAAAAAUUUUGAAAAUUUUAAUUAAAAUAUAUUAAUAAUAUUAAUUAUUGGGAUUUAGAUUGUAUCUUUAAUAAAAUCUACAAAUAUAAUACAACUUUAUAUACCAUUUGACCGAGAAAUUAUUCUAUGAACCCUUACCACCAUCUUAGCAAUAGGCCCAUCCAAUUAAUUUACACCAAAUCGACUUUUAUUUCCACUUUAGAUCUAAGCGAUUUCAUCUUCCUCUCAAUCCCAAACUGAAAUUGGAGAAAAAAAUUGUUUGAAAAUCUUCACUACUCACCCAAAAAGUAAAAUAAGAAAAUUCAAACUAACCAUUUUCAAGAUUCAAGAAAACUAAUGUCUUGAUAUAACUAUACUUGAUAGAAUAUAUGAUGAUGAUGAAGGCAAAAGAAAUUUAAUAUCUUCAACUACAGAAGUGAGGAACAGAGAGUCAUUAAGCAAACUUGGGGAAGAGAAAUGAGAAUAUUGGUGGGAUCUAUUACAGUUGCUACCGAGAGUGAUAGAAAAAGAGAAGAAAAGAAGGAAGAAGCAAGAGAAAACACAGAGAAAAUGAAGGAGGGAUAAGGCAAUUUCUUCAAUUUGUAUAACCUCCUAUUGUUACAAGCCUUCGCUAAAAAGGGAAAAAAUAUGAUUUUUGCACCUAAAUUCACUUAUCAACUAUUACUACAGCUGUAAACCAAUGCUAAAAACGCACCAUUUCAUUUAAAGUGAAAUAUUCCGUUUCACUAAAACACGGGCCACUAAAUCACUCAGCUAAAACGCACCAUUUUAUUUACAUAUUCGGAACCAAAACACAACAUUUGGUUAACUAACAUAACUACCAUUUCUAAACUCCCUUGUGCAAAAAGAUCCUUACUUUAAGGAUUGAAAGAAGGAAACUACUGUUGUAAAUGUUGGAAGACUUCCCACAUAGCAUUCUCAGGAAAGGUGUUGGUCCACUCCACAAGCAGUUCAGUGACAGCAUGAUUACCCCGACAGACCAUUCAGUGAUCAAGAAUAUGGUUGGGUUCUUUGGUCAUGGCUCCAUAUAGUCCAACCAAGGGUAAAGUGGCCUGUAUAGGCUACUUACCAACAUGCUUCUUGAGUUGGAAGACAUGGAAGGUAGGGUGGAUGCGUGGCCCUGGUGGAAGUUGGAGGUGAUAAACCAUUGAUUUGAUCUUAGCCAACACCAGAAAAGGCCCAAAGAUUUUAGGGCUAACUUUUGGUUUAGGACCCUUCUGAAUGAGUGUUGUCUGUAUGGCUACAAUCUGAGGUAGACUAAGUCUCCCACCUUAAAGAUCGAAUCACUCCUUCGAUUAGCCAGUUGUUUCAUCCUAUCCUAAACAUGCUUGAUAUAGAAAUGAAUAAGCUUCUUAGUUGUUUCUCAUUGUUGCAAACCCCAAUCAACACAAGCCACUGUGGAUGACCCAACCAAAUAAGGCAGAUAAGGAGGGUGGAGGUUGUCCAUAAAGAGCUUCAUAAGGAGUAGUUUGUAGGGUAGAAUGGAAGGUUGAGUUGUACCACCAUUUUUCCAAUGGUAACCAUAAAUGCCAAUCUGUAGGACGUUCCCCAAUCAUACACCUAAGGGUAACUUUCCAGACAUCUAUUAAAUGCCUUGGUUUGGCCAUCACAUUGUGAAUGGUAGGUAGUAGAGAGUUGCAAACUUGUGCUAAUCCGUUUCAAAAGCUCUUGCCAAAACUAAUUGACGAAGACCAUAUCACGGUCAAAGACAAUAGACUUAGGGAGCCCAUAAAGCUUGUAAAUGUUGUUGAGGAACUUUUAGGCAAUAGUGAAAGUAGAAAAAUGGUGUGCUAAGGCCACAAAAUGGCCAUACUUGGUGAAUCUGUUCACCACCACCAAAAUUGUGUCUUUGCCUCGUGAAGGAGGAAGGCUUUCUGUGAAAUCCAUGUUGAUGGCUGCCUAAGCCUUUUUUGGUAUAGGCAAUGGUUAUAGAAGGCUUGGAGAAGCAGAGUUGUCAGCCUUGCACUUUUGGCAGACUGAGCAUUCCUUAACCAAGUUCUUAACAUCCUUGGCCAUCCCAUUCUAGUACACCAAACUAGGUAAACGAUGUUGAGUAACAUGGUUACUUGAGUGUCCCCCCAAAAAGCUUUUGUGGAAGUAACAAAAAAAAACUCCUUUUGUAGCUUCUUAUUUGAUCCUACCACCAGCUUCCCUUUCCUCUUUAGAAGCUUACCAUCCCAUGUAUAUUUUGAGUGAGAAGCAGGUUGUUAUACUUAUAAACAUAGCUUGCUGAGCUUUGUGUCUAUCUUUCAAGAAGCUUGUAUUUUGGUUAGCAAAUCAAAUAUGAUGAAGUAGUUGACCUGAGUGCUAGAUUUAGUGCCCUGAGUGUAGUAUUUUUGUCAAUGUACAUUCAUAAUUUUUUCAAACAGAUUGGUUAAUAAAACAAAUUCAUAGAUUACAUUAAUAUACUUUGUAUGAUUUUCCUCAUAUCAGUUUUGCAUGUAAAGAAAAAUGAAAGCAAAUGUUGGUCAUUGGUUGUCUAAUGUUUAAACUAAUACUAAGCGAAAUUAUAUGGUCAGAUCAUAAAAUGGAAAUUCAACUUAUAUUAGUAGACUAACCUAAACAUUUCCUUAGUUUAAUUGGAAACUAGCAAACUGAUUGAAAGACUAAUAUGACAUCUAUCAAGUCCAAUUGGGGAGAUGCUUUAUCUCAGGCAUCAGAGUGGAUGACUUUCAGAAGAUAGAGACAUACAUGUGGCUGACUAGGCUGACAGCACAUCGAACUAGACCCAAGAUAAAUAGAUACUGAAUCUAUUUAUGGAUUUAUUCACUUGUGAUGUUCAUAAUGUGGCAUACCUAAAUCCUAAGUGGAUGAUGGGCUAUGUAUAUAUGACUCGUACACUUUGAUGUAAGUAAGUACCUGAGUUCAAAUAAAUAAGGAACCUUAAGCUAAUGUGUUGGGUGUACGACUUCUGUAGUAUGUAGCAUCAUUCACAAUAAUAGAAUUCAUAGCCCAAUACAUUGGUAAAUGAUAUCCUCUCAUUAGCAUUAAUCCUCUCAUUAGCAUUACAUGGUUGAUGAAAAGUAAACGUGGCCACUGAUCGUUCGUCUUUGUAAUGAAUGACUUAAUUACUAUUUGAUAGUAAUUGACUUUUCAUUAAGAAAUAUGUAGUAGUUACCAUAAGAUAAAAUAUGAUCAUAUUGGGAGAAUGAAUAUUAUCCCAAAGAUAUUAAGGAUGCCUUAUGAGGGUAACACACUUAUGACAAGGUCAUUAGAUGAGUACUAAUCGAGUUACUUUCGUAAUGGUAUGCCAUUAGGGAGAACUCGGUCUGUUUCAACCCGAUAGUUAGGGGUGUCAGAAAGAAUAUUUCUAGGACUCUGUUUCUACAAAUUGGACCCAUAAAUAUUCUUAUUAAAUAUUUACGGGGUCACAUUAGAGGUGAAUUGAAUUUUUAGUAAGUAAUUUUCUUAAAUUAGGAGUUAUUAAGGUACAGUAACUAAAUCGCGUAAGGGUUAAAAGUUGGAUUAUAGAUUGAAAUAAAUAAAAUAGACUAAAGUGGGAAGGAAUAAAAUGAAGGCAUGCAAAUUAAAAGAAAAGAAAGAAAGAAGAGAAGAAGUAACCAACGACAUUAGGGGUUUCUAACUUUCUAACUUCAAUUGGUUAGUCAAUUUAUUCCCUUUUCUUGUAAUUUUUUAUGUUUUUGGAAUCCUGGUACUUAGAGCUACCCGGCCCAUGUUAUAAUUUUUAGUAUUGUUUAAGAUUUUAGAUGUUGUUAUUGUCGAAUAUUUUAAGUACUAAGGGUUAAAUUGAUAGAUUUUUAAGUUAGAUGUGGAAAAGGAUUAAAUUGUAGAAUAAAUUGUUGAUUUUCAAUAAUAAAGGCUAAAUUGUGAAAAUUUCAAAAUUAAGGGGUAGAACUGAAACAUAUGGAACUAAAUUUAGCUUAGAGUGAAAUUAGUAUAAAAAUAUAAAGUUAAAUGUGAAUAUUUAAAUUAUUCUCGAUUUAGGGACUAAAUUGAAAAAUAAACAAAAUAUAGUAGAAAAAUUGAAAUUCUUGUGAAUUGAGUGGUAUAUUAUUAAUUAAUUUAAAUUAUUUUAUUCUAUAGAAAACAUCGUUCUAGAGUCCUAGAGUAAGAAGGGGAAAGGCAAGGUCGACAUCAAAUAGCUCGGAAUAUACGAUUUGUGUUUCUAUAAUCCAAAAUAAUUUACAAAUUGUUACAUAUUAAAUUGUUUGCAUAUGGUAAGUAAUUGAGGUAAGUACUCUUGUAUUUUGAGUUGAAUUGAAUCAAUUGAUGAUUAUGAAUAUCAAGAAAUGUGAUGCCUUUAUAAAAAUUGAAAUGAAUAUGUGUAAUUGAGAAAUUGUGAUCGCUACCAAACUGAAUACAUGUUUAUAUAUAAUCAUGAACAUAUAUGAAAUUGGGACAUUGGUUGUCUUGUAAAGUGAAUUGAAACCCUAUUAAUUGUUUCGGGAUAAGUCAGAUAUAGAUGGCAUGCCAUAGGAUAGGAAGAGUUCAAAGAUUUCUUCGACCUCGAGUCGAUAAGGCAUUGGGUGCCAAUUUGCUUCAGUUUAACCGAUGAGACACUGGGUGUCAACUUAUAUAGCACUGGGCGCAGUUAUUAUUUCAAAUUUAUCUGAUGAGGCACUGGGUGCCAAACUGACGUGUUGGUUGGAUCUGUGUAUCCGUUCAAGUCCAAGUCGUGUUAAUAUGAGAAAUUAAAUGAUAAAUUUUAUGUGUUGAUAUUGAGAUGACAAGGAUGAGAAAUGGAUAUGAUAUGGGAAAUGGAAUAUGAAAUGAUGAAAUGGGAUAUGAAUAUUGAAAUGAAUUCAUGUAUUCAACAAAGAGAUGAAUCAUGCCAUUGUAUGAGUUGAAAUUAUCAAAUGCUAUAUGAAAUGCCAUUGUCAUGUACUAGAACAUGUGGAAUCUAGUGGAUGUGAAUAAAAAAUGAGCAAAUUUAUAUUAGUGAAUUGAAACAUAUGUUCAUAACAUUACUUUUUGUAUUCUUACAUUUUAAUUACUCAUAUCAAGUUUAAAUUGUUCGGAUUAUAGAAAUACCACUGAGUUAUACUCAACAUACUGUUUUCUUUUUCGUUCACAGGUUAGGUACAUUUCAGCUUACCAUCGACUCAACAUCCAACAACGAUCCAGGACUCAAGUGCGAUGAUGUUCUAUUUUUUCAUGACAGGUACCUAGGAGUUUGAUGUUGUUUAUAAUGUGAUGAUGUUUUGGUUUUCAAGGGAAAUGAUGGUUUUUUGUAUAUAUGGUUGUGGUUGAGGCUAUGGUUGUGGUUGAGGCUAUGUAUGGUAUGAUAGCUUAACUUAAUGUUUGGUAUGUGUUUAGCUUAAUGUUUGGUAUGUGUUUAGCUUAAAGUUUGGUAACCUAAGUAGCUAAAUGUUAGUCCAAUUAUGGAAAAUUUGGUAUGAAUGAAGGUUUUGAAUGCUUGAUGCUUUGUUAAUAUGUUUGAAGAUAUAAAAUUUGGUACCAAUGGGGGUACAUUGGUUAGACACUUAAGAUGGUUAUUUUGGCAUAUUUUGAACAUGUUUAAUUUUGUUUUGAAUAUGUUAAAUGGCUGGUGAAUUGAUUUCUUAGUGUCCAAGUAAUCACAAUUUGGUAAAAUUGAGUUUUAAGGUACAUUUAGGUACACACAGCCUGGGACACGGUUUGUCACACGGCCAUGUGUCACACACGGGCAUGUGCCCUAAACAUGUCAUAGAAUACGAUAGAUGCAGUUUCCAUACGGGCUAACACACGGUCGUGUAACCCAAAUUAGUGAGUUACAUGGUGUGGGAUGUUUCAUACAGUCGUGUGACCCCUAUUUCUUAGGAUUUUGAGGUUUGCCCUAAAAUUUUAGAAUUAUUUCAAAUUAGCCCCUGUUUGUUUUUAGACUAUAUGUAACAACCCGAUUUAGGGCCUAAACAGAUAGUGGUUUCAAAACCAAAAAUCCAAAAUAGAAAAAUUUAUUGCGAUUAAGUUUUAAUAUUUACUGUGUGAUUGAAUGACUAUGUGAAUUUUUCGCUGUGAAAUUCUAUCGAUUGAGUGUCUAAUUUGAUGAUUAGGACUAAAUUACAAUAGGUGGAAAAUGUGUGUUCUAGUUCAUAAAGGUACUUGUUUGUAAUGGGUUUUUAAAAUAGAGGUCCUUAGAUAGUAAUUAGACCAUUAUACUUCAGUUUGGACAAAAUACCCAAAGAAGGAUAAAAUACCAUAGUUUUUAAUGAAGGGCAUUUUGGCCAUUUGGUUAAUAAAAGAAAUAAAAAGAGAAAAUAAGGCCAAAAUUGUGUCCAUCUUCUCCAUGCUUGGCCAAAUUUCUCUACGUCUCCAUAGCUAGGGUUUUUUCAAGCUUUCAAGCUCAAUGGUAAGUGCAUCUUAGCCCUGUUUUUAAUGUUCUUUACAUUUUUGAGAUCCUCAUAACUCGAUUUAGCUAUUUCUACCAUUAUUUUGAACUAGGGUUUGUGUUUAGAAAUUUACACAUGAAUGAAAUGCAUGUGUUUUGAUGUUUUAUGGAAGAUGUCGAAACCAUUUUUUUUUAAAAAUUUGAAAAAUAGGGAUUGACUUAAAAAGGAAAAUGGGAGUCGCCACCGAUCUUCUAUAGAGGUGUGAUCGGAUCACCUUGAAAAUAAUUUUAGGUCUGACAAAAUUUUUUGAGAAAAUAGGUUCGGGAGUCGAUUACGCGCGGGGAAGGGUUAACACCCUCGUGACGCCCAAAAUUGGUACCGAUUUGAUUGUUUAAUGUCUUAAUGUCGAAAUUUUGAAAAGAUUUUAAAAUACGAUCCUUUUAUUUUGAAUGAAUUGGAAGAUAAGACUCAUUUAUUUUAAAGAAAUAAAUUGUUACACUCAGUAAGUUAGAGUGCAACGUUUCAAAUCCUCCAAAUUAAGCUUGUCGUUUGAGUUUUAAAACCUAUGCGUUUUGAGAAGGAUAUCCGAUUAUUUGGGUCCAAUGAGAAAAUCAAAACCCAAUAAGUUAGGGUCCGAUUUCACAAAAUUCCUAAAUAUCGAACAUUGCCUUUUAUUUUUAAAAUCCUCGUCUCGAGAAAAUAACAUGUCAUAUCCAAUAUGUUAGGACACAACGUGUCGAAUUCCCGAGAAUGAGUUUUUAUUUGAAUUUGUAUGUUUUCAAAAAAUCUUGAUUAUUUAGAUUCAGGGAGAUAGGAUUGAUUUCUUCUGUCUGCUCCACUACUGCUUAGGGAGAUAAGACUUGUAAUUUCCAACCUAUUCCACUGCUGGUCAGGGACAUAGGACUUGUGGCUUAAAUCUAUUUCCCUACUCCUGGGGGAGAUAAGAUUCACCGCCUUCGAUCUGCUCCGCUAGUGCUUAGGAAGGCAAGAUCUGGUAUCUUUAACCAGCUCUACUGCAACUGAUGGAGGCAAGGCUUUGUUUUCGAUCUGCUUCACUGUUAACGCAGGAAGGCAAGAUCUGUCAUCUCUAACCAGCUCCACUGCAACCGAUGGAGGCAAGGCUUUGUUUUCGAUCUGCUUCGCUGAUCUGUAGGAAGGUGAGAUCUGUUUCUUUAACCAGCUCCACUGCAAUCGAUAGAGGUAAGGCUUUGUUUUCGAUCUGCUUCGCUAUUAAAGCAGGAAGGCAAGAUCUGCUAUCUUUAACCAGCUCCACUGCAACCGAUGGAGGCAAGGCUUUAUUUUUUAUCUUCACUGAUCUCUUCUCUCGGGAACAUAAAUUGUAUAAUGAACCUAAUUAUGCCUAAUGAUUAGGAUGACAUGAUCAAAAUGAAUCAAAUGCUCCUAACUAGACAUGUGUGAAUGGCGUUUGCAUGAAUGUAGAAUUUUAUUUUAUUUUUUGAGAAUGAUCUCGCUUAGGUUGUCAUUACUCGAAGUUUAUUAAGGCUUUGUGACUGAUGUACUACAACGCCUUCUCGUUUGACUGGCUUUUCUGAAGAAACAUUUAGCCAGGUUGCCCCCACUGUAAACUUCAAAGUUUAAUCUAUUAGGGCGUACAACUUGUACCAUCAUUCUCCCACUGUAAUCCAAGGGUAGAAAUAUGGCUUUCCUCAAUCCUUUCUUAUCACAAUUCAAGGAUACAGGAUCCGAAUCUUUCUAGUUCCUUACACCAUUCCCAAGGUGUCGUAUCAAAGACUUAUGCGCAGAUGAAGGCUCUCUUCUCCAAGGUAACCUCUUCCUAUUUCCUAAUGAUCAUUGCUUGCUUGUUCAUUUAAGCUUUGUCACCAACAUGGUGUCUUGUCAAUCAACGCAUUUGACAACAAAAAUCUAAAGAGAAAGUCUAAAUUUAGACCAUUCCUUCUCAAAUUUCCAACCUUUAAAUUUGGUGUGUUCUAAACAAUAGUCCUGUUUCAAGCUCCUAUAUUAUUUAGAAACUUUUCAGAGUAAUAUGCAAAAAUUCAUUUGUGAAAGUUUUAUUAGUCCAUUAAUCAUUAUUCCAAUGCAACAUGUUUGCAAAAAGGGCAUAACAAUAGAUAAGAAUAAAGUUGGUUCUGAGCAUAGCUCGAAAGAACAAAUUAUCGAAAAUAGUAAAGAAGGAUGACAAAGAAAUUAAUUGGGAAUGUAUAUCUUGGAAAGGAAAAAAGUAUUCCAAGAACAACAAAUAAUAUGAGAAUUCGGUGCCCCAGAUAUCGUAGCUUGAACUUCUCUGUACAAACUUUCUGAAGACCAUUUUGAGUUGGACAUGUGUUUAGGAGAUCUACAGUGCUCUGUCGAUGCCCCAAGAUGUCGCCUAUCCUUUCUUGUUGAUUUAGGCAUAGCAAGAUCACCACAUGCCCAAUUUGGUCAAGAUUUGAGUUGCUUUGAUUACCUCAUGCCCCAUUCUGAUCAAUAUUUGAGGCGCCCUUUUCGGGUUUUCAACUCAAAUCCCUUUUGGCCUAAGGUGUCCUUUGCGGGUUUUCCCCUUAGCCUCUCCAUUUUUACUCUUUCAUUUUUUUCAUUUUUCAUUUUCAUUUUUCAUUUUUCAUCUUUCUUUUUUUUUUUUUGAAAUCCAUUGUCUUGCAGUACGGUGACAAACCGUGGUGUCUGAUUUUGAACUAAUUACAACCCUCAGCUAUUGUGCUGUCAUUCAAGUUCAAUGCAAUUUCCAAUACCAUCCUCUCUAGAAUUCUAUAUCGGCAUAUGAUGACAUUGAUGCAUGCAGUAGCCUCUAUCUGUUUGAUGAAGUAAUUAAUGAUCUCAAUAGUGAAGCAAUGCCCAUUAGAAGUCUUCGAUAAUAGUGAUGUCCAUGCCCCAUUUUGCUCGAAGUUUGAGUCGCCCUUUUUUGGGUUUUCAACUCAAAACCACCUUUGGUCACAAAGCGCCCUUUUUGGGUUUUCGCCUUGGCUUCUCCUUUCCUUUCCUUUUUCUCUUUUCAUAUUUUAUUUUGACUUUGAUUGAUUUCUCUUUUUUGCUUUUAACUCUUUUUUUUUUAAUCUGAACCCUUUCGAUCAGAAUCAAUGUUUUUAUAGAUAAGAUUUUUCACUUUCAUCUUUUAUGCGAAAAACCCUAUUUGGUAUCAGGUUUCUUUCAUAGAGCCUUCUGGGGCGAAACUACGAUAGAAGAAUUUGGAUCCUCCUCUUCAAUCAGGAUAAAAUCCAAUAAACGGGCAAAGCUAUGUUGAAUCGACGAGUAAGGCAUUACCCCGGCAAAGAAUUGUAUCGUUUAUACUGGAAAUUUCUACCAUCGCGCUACUGUGCAGAUUUCAUUAUCAGUGCUUAACUCAGGCAUAUCUUGGUAUGACCAUAAAAAGACAUCCUUGAACUCUAGAAUAACUUAAUGAGGAGCUACUUCGUCUUUGAGGUCAGGUCAAUUACCAAGCUCACAAUUUCUAAUGGUUCCUAGUGAGGUAGGAUCUAUCGAUUCUCUUGUUCUACCAUCCUCAAUAAGUCUGAGAUAAUCUACAAUCUUUGUUAUUUUCAAAGCCAUAAGAUCCGUCUAAACACAUGCCUCACUCAAGAGGAAAAUCUGAGUCUAUAGCAGCGACAUUCAUGUCAUUGAUAUCUGCGGACCCAUAGUAGGUACCAAAGAAUAUACAAAAGAAUGUGUAAAUUCAUGAAUAAUACAAUAUGAUUAUUAAUGAAUGAAUGAUAUGGAAGAAAAUCUAAAGGAAUAAAAUAAUCAGAAAUAAUUAUUCAAAAAGAAUGAAAUAACAUUGGCUCAAAAGUGAUAGCAAAGAUGUAUUUCAUUAAAAUAACAAUGUUCAGACAUGAGCCUAUUUCACAAAAGAAAUUUCUAUCAUUUUUAGGCUAAAAAAAACAAAAAUGUUCUGAACAUUACUUUAAAAAGCUCUAGAGACUAUAGGGUUUUCUUCCGCAGUCGAAUUGCUUAGAACACUUCCACGUUUAUAAGGGCGGAUAUCUAACAAGGUCCCUUCUUCAGUUGCUUGUGCAUUGCAUUCACUCCACUUAUCUAUUAUGAUUGGGUAGUGGAUUUUCCGCAUUGGAGGAAUCAUCGAAUUUAACGACGCCCAUACUGAUAAGCCUUUCAAUCAGUUUUUUAAAGGCAAUGCAGUUUUCUAUGGAAUGCCCCGUAUUUCCCACAUGAUAUUCGCAUUGUGCAUUUGUGUCGUGCCAUCUGGGGUAUGGAGGCUGUGGAGGCUUUGUGUAGAGAGGGGAAACAAUGCGCGCAUUGAAUAAGAUUUAAUACAGCUCCUUAUAUGACAUCAUAAUUGGCGUGAAUUGGAGGUUCUCAGUGCCUUGUUUCACAUAAGGUUCUUGUCUUGAUGAACCUUGUUGACUAGCGACCACUUUACCUGGAUGACUUACUGACCUUGAGUAACCUGUGUUGUUCACCUUAUUUUCUCUUCUCCUUGGGGUUGACCUCUUAUCACUCUCUUCCACCUCAAUUUUUCCGGCUCUUAUAGCACUUUCAAUCAUUUCACCGCUCAUGACUAUGUCAGAAAAACUUUUUGUAGCACUUCCUAACAUGUGCGUAAUGAACGGGGCCUUCAGCGUAUUGAUGAAGAGCAUUGUCGUCUCUUUCUCCAAGAAGGGUGGCUGAACCUGGACUGCAACUUCCCUCCACCUCUGUGCAUACUGCCUAAAACUUUCGCUCGAUUUCUUUUCCAAAUUUUGCAAAGUGAUUCUAUCGGGAACCAUAUCCGUCAUAUGACUGUAUUGUUUCAUAAAUGCCUGUGCUAGGUUCCUCUAUGAACCAAUCUCGGUACGGCUCAACUGAUUGUACCAUUUCGACGCAGCUCCAAUGAGGCUAUCCUGAAAACAAUGUAUCAAUAGCUGAUCAUUGUUAAUAUACCCAGUCAUUCUCCUACAGAACAUGGUGAUAUGGGCUUCUGGGCAGCUAGUCCCACUAUAUUCCUCGAAUUCAGGCAUCUUAAACUUGUGAGGGAGUACUAAGUCUGGAACCAAGCUCAGAUCUUUCGCAUCGAUUCCAUGGUGACUAUUGGCGCUUUUCAGGGCUUUGAAUUUUUCCUUCAACCAUUUACACCUGUCCUCCCAUUGUUUUGACAGUUCGACGUUUGCCUUCUCUUUUUCAGCCAUUUCAUCGAAAUCAGGAAUAACAAGAUUCACUAGGUUAUCUCUAGGAUUAGAACCUGAUCCAGCCUGAAAGUUCAUUGGCAUUGAAACAUCAGUUUGAAACCGCUGAGGCUCAAUUGAAAUAAAGGAUCUGCAUAGAGGUACCUCGGUCUGAAUCUGCGCAUACAGAGGUGUAAAGCCUAGAGGGUAGAUAGGUCUAUCCUUGUCUUCUCCUUCAUCUUUAACCAUAGGACCCUUUCCAUUAUUUACACCUUUAGUCAGUAGGUGGGUCAAUUCAGCCAUCGCAUCUUUUUGAGCCUUGAUCAGUUUUUCCGUCAUGUCUUCUUGAAUUUUAUUUAGCUGCUCUUGCAUUUGUACUUGUAACCGUUCUUGCAUAUCCUUUUGCAUUUGCUCCAAUUUCUCUAAUCUUUGAUCCAUUUCCUUAGUCUUUCAACGAGUACCGUAUUGAUGCUUAAUGGGUGAGCUUUUGUCGGUUUCCAAAUUAGCUGAAAUAAAUUUUCUCAAUUACACCCUUUAAAUGGACUUUAAUGCAUGUAAUGCGAAUGCAUGAAAUGUAUGCCUAAAGAGACAUUGAUUUUGAUUCAAUUACAUUUAGGAAACUUUUCUAGAAAGCAAAUUCCUUUACAGAAAAUGGAUACAUGUACGGCCUCACCCUCAUAUUCCAAGAAACAACAUCUAUCUUUUUCUUCAUCUGCAUGUUUGAGGUAAUAUCGCCAAUAGAUGCCAUUGCUAGCUCCUUCUCUUGAUCUUGGUUGCAAUCCAUCAUUUACCCGUCUUUGUAAAGCUCGUCAGCUUCUUUAAGGGAGUUGGAAUGUCGAAGGCUCUUAGACAAUCACCUGGAAUCCUCAGGCUACGAAGCAAGGUCACGAACUCUUCCAUGUGUUUUUUUAGAAUAUAUUAAGGUAGCCGUAUUGUUUUCCACUUUAUCAAGGAAUCCGUAUUCCAUGACAAGCUUUCUAAUUGAGCAAUUGGAUUUGAAUCAAUAUCUCUUUCCUAAGAUGUGAAUGCAAUGCAAUUACAAUCAAAACACAACAAGAGGGGUUAGUACCAAAUAGAAGUAAACAAGGAAGACAAAAGUACCCAAUCAGGUGACCACUAGGGGUUUGGAGUGGCUCUAUCUAGGUUAAGUUCCUAAGUCCACUAUAUGAGGUUUGGUUCUAAAGUCAAGGUACCCGAACCCGCAGAUUCCUCGAUCCUCACCCAUUAUAGGCUCAUACAGACCGGUUCGGUUCAGGGGAAUACAUUUCCCUAUGGCUGCACGGAGAUGAAAAUCUCAUGAAGACAUAGGUACGGAUGUAUUCCGAAAGUGAUCCACUAUCCUGCACGGAGGUGAAAACCUCACGAAGCAGUAGUUUCUCACUCCCAUUUAAAAGGGAAAGACCUACAGUCUUAUGCAAUAUGAUGCCAAGGUAUAAAAUAGUAAUUAUACAAACAAAUGCAAAGAAAGGAUCGAAAAUUUUCAAAUCAAAUUUUCAAUUUUCGAUAAUAAGACAAGAAACAAUCAAUUUUACGGCUUGACUCUCUAAAUGCAUCCCCAGUGGAGUCGCCAAGCUGUCGAAACCAUUUUUUUUAAAUUUGAAAAACGGUUUAGGGAGUCGAUUGAGGUGUGAUCGGAUCACCUUGAAAAUUAUUUUAGGUCUGUGAAAUUUUUGGAGAAAACAGGUUCGGGAGUCGAUUACACACGAGGAAGGGUUAACACCCUCGUGACGCCCAAAAUUGGUACCGAUUUGAUUGUUUAAUGUCUUAAUGUCGAAAUUUUGAAAAGAUUUUAAAAUACGAUCCUUUUAUUUUGAAUGAAUUGGAAGAUAAGGCUCAUUUAUUUUAAAGAAAUAAAUUGUUACACUUAGUAAGUUAGAGUGCAACAUUUCAAAUCCUUCAAAUUAAGCUUGUCCUUUGAGUUUUAAAACCUAUGCGUUUUGAGAAGGAUAUCCGAUUAUUUGGGUCCAAUGAGAAAAUCAAAACCCAAUAAAUUAGGGUUCGAUUUCACAAAAUUCCUAAAUAUCGAACAUUGCCUUUUAUUUUUAAAAUCCUCGUCUCGAGAAAAUAACAUGUCAUAUCCAAUGCGUUAGGACACAACGUGUCGAAUUCCCGAGAAUGGGUUUUUAUUUGAAAUUUGUAUGUUUUCAAAAAAUCUUGAUUAUUUAGAUUCAACGAGAAAAAUAAAAACCCAAUACGUUAGGGCUCAAUUCUCCCGAGGAUUCUAAAUUUUGGGUAUUUCCUUUAUUUUAAAAACGAGAUAACAAAAUAUCAUAUCCAGUAAGUUAGGAUCCAACAUUUUGGAAUCUUAAGAAUUUUAUUCUUAAAAACAUAUGGUUUAAAUAAAAUGAACACUUGAUUAUCUAAAUGCAUCCAAAAAAAUUGAAACCCAGUAAGUUAGGGCACAAUUUUCUCGGGAACUAUGAAUACCAAGCCUUUUUAGAAAUUAUGAAAUAGAACGAUUAUAAUGCUUUAAUGAAAUGCAAUUUUUACAAACAAUAUAAUAAAAUAUCAAUAUACAAAUCAAAUGGUGAAUAGCAAGCUAAAUUUACAAUUUGGAGCAACCAAACAUAUAAUACAUCAACAUUGAUAAUCAAAUAAACUAAUAAUCAAUCUUACAAAUAACGAAAUGAGAAUAAUUAAUAUAAAGAUAAUUUAAUCACAAGUAAACCACUUAAAAUAAUCGAAAUGAAUAAAAAAUUUGAAAACAAAAAUAAAAUUUUGUAAAUUACAAGUUAUGAUGCAUUUUAUACACAUAUACAUGUAUUAAAAUAAUUCCAUAUAAACUAUACAUAUAAGUAUAAUAAUCACGAUAUAUCAUGGUGAAAAUAAAAUUUGGGACUAUAUUCUAAAAUACAUUAUUGAUAAAUAUAAAGUAAUAUAUCAAAUUCUAGAAAUAUAUUAAGUGUGAUAAAAUAAAUAAUAAUGUAUCAAAUUUUAAAAAAAGGAGUAUAUGUAAAGAAUUUAAAAUCGAUGUCAAUGAAUUUAAAACAUAUUGAUAAUAAUUAGUAAGAAUAAAGUAUUAUAUUUUAGAAAUCAUAUUAAUAAUAAGUUUAAAAAUAUUAAGUCAAUGUUAAAAUAAUAUUAAUAAUUAAAAUAACAAUAAAAUUUUUAAUAAACAUACAGUAGUUUCAAAAUAUUAGUAUAUAAUAACUUUAAAAUACAAAAUACAACCCAAAAUAAUAACUUUAUUACAUUAAAAUAAUAUAAUAAUAAUUUAAAAUACUAUCAAAAAUAAAUAUUAUAAAGAAUAUUAGAUAUUAUAAUACAUGAAAAUAGAAUUAAUCAUAAUUUAAAAAAACAUUGAAUUUUUUAAAAAACAAAUCAGUAUUUAAUUAAAACCUGUGUCAAAAUUGAAGGACUAAAUUCGCAAUUAAACACAAACAUCGAAAUAAUCCCAAACAAUAGCAAAAGUGACACUGUUUGAACUUGGAUCUAAAUGAAUACAGAAUUAAAUAGGUGGUAAAAAUUAAGGAAAAUGGAAAGAAAUCCGAUUGAAACUAAGCAAAACAUGAAAGGACUCUAAGCGCAAAUAAGCUAAAAAGUCAGAACACGCGGAUCCUCCACGGGUGAGGUCACCGCGCGGGUUGCUGAAACUAAGUGGCUUAAACGGCACCAUUUUAAGUUUUACAGAACUAAAAAAAAAUAAAUAAAUGAAACCUAAAAAAAAUGAACUAAAAGAAACCCUAGCCCUCAUUUACUCAGAAACGCGCCGCAAUCCCUCAUCCCUUCCGAUCUCCGACUACCAAGAAGCGGACUAGGGUUCGAUGACUCAAUGGUUUCGACACACAGGUGAGCCCUUUCCCUCAUCGCCACCUUGAAAGCCAGAACGCUCCUGUCUCUCAUUCCGAUUCGGACAGAGUAGAGGAUGGCUCCAAUGGCGCGCGAAGGUACAAUUAUACCUUUAACUCUUUUCUUUUCUUUUAUAUCUAAAUGUAUACAAAAAAGAAAAAAAAUUAAAGAACAGAAAAACGCAAAGAAAAAGAAUCACCUUAAAAUCGAUCUUUUUAUUUCUCUUUUUUUUUUAUCUCCCCCCUUUUACAGAUUUCGUUAUAGCUUUAUAUAGCCAAAAGAAAAAUACAAAAAACGCCCAUCUUUCUGUUUUUUCUUCGCUAUUACAAUUUUUUUGCCCCCUUUUGUUGUGCUAUUUCUGCUUGUCUUUUGCUUGUUUAUUGCGCUCUUUGCGUGUUGAUUUUCUACAGGUGUACGGAGGCCGUACGAUGACGUGGAGGGCGGCGUACGUACGGAGGUGCGCGUGGGAGGAGGCCACGCAUGGGAGCUUGCGGCGCCAGGGGAUUUAGGGUUUGCUGCUGAUUUUUUGUGUUGAAAUUGUUUUGGGCUAUCGGGCUAGGGUGAGGUGUUUUUGGACUGACGUUUAGUGGGCUUGUAAUACUGGACUGUUAUAAUUUUAUAUUUGGGUUUUUAUUA
This 43407-nucleotide long non-coding RNA is filed under the name Gossypium barbadense (sea-island cotton). RNAcentral's name for it is "long non-coding RNA (GBAR_LNC020151)". Lineage: Eukaryota; Viridiplantae; Streptophyta; Magnoliopsida; Malvales; Malvaceae. The record is from RNAcentral.